UCCGAGUUGACCCCGGCAGUCUCCUAUGAGUCCCCGCCAUAACGCGCUGGCAACAUAGAACGAGGGUUGCGCUCGUUGCGGGACUUAACCCAACAUCUCACGACACGAGCUGACGACAACCAUGCACCACCUGUAAACCGGCCCCGAAGGGAAACCGCAUUUCUGCGGCGGUCCGGUCCAUGUCAAACCUUGGUAAGGUUCUUCGCUUAUCAUCGAAUUAAACCACACGCUCCACCGCUUGUGCGGGUCCCCGUCAAUUCCUUUGAGUUUUAGUCUUGCGACCGUACUCCCCAGGCGGGAUGCUUAACGCGUUAGCUUCGCUACAGCAGGGGUCGAUACCUCCUACAGCUAGCAUCCAUCGUUUACGGCGUGGACUAC
This 378-nucleotide unclassified non-coding RNA is filed under the name uncultured bacterium. RNAcentral describes it as "contains 16S-23S intergenic spacer region". The record is from RNAcentral.